RNAcentral lists this ribosomal RNA (593 nucleotides) under Irpex latemarginatus. RNAcentral's name for it is "eukaryotic LSU rRNA". The stretch from base 247 to 400 matches the Rfam family "5.8S ribosomal RNA". Lineage: Eukaryota; Fungi; Basidiomycota; Agaricomycetes; Polyporales; Irpicaceae. The record is from RNAcentral.
AAGUAAAAGUCGUAACAAGGUUUCCGUAGGUGAACCUGCGGAAGGAUCAUUAUCGAGUUUUGAACGGGUUGUAGCUGGCCUUUAACGAGGCAUGUGCACACCUGGCUCAUCCACUCUCAACCUCUGUGCACUUUAUGUAAGAAACGGUGUAAGCCAGCUAUUUAAUAGUUGGUAACAAGCCUUUCUUAUGUUUACUACAAACGCUUCAGUUAUAGAAUGUUUACUGUGUAUAACACAAUUAUAUACAACUUUCAGCAACGGAUCUCUUGGCUCUCGCAUCGAUGAAGAACGCAGCGAAAUGCGAUAAGUAAUGUGAAUUGCAGAAUUCAGUGAAUCAUCGAAUCUUUGAACGCACCUUGCACUCCUUGGUAUUCCGAGGAGUAUGCCUGUUUGAGUCUCAUGGAAUUCUCAACCCCUAAAUUUUGUAAUGAAGUUUAGUGGGCUUGGACUUGGAGGUUGUGUCGGCUUCUAGUCGACUCCUCUGAAAUGCAUUAGCGUGAAUCUUACGGAUCGCCUUCAGUGUGAUAAUUAUCUGCGCUGUGGUGUUGAAGUAUUUAUUAGUUCAUGCUUAUAGUCGUCUCUUACCGAGACAA